Molecule: ribosomal RNA, 406 nt
Filed under: uncultured bacterium
Lineage: Bacteria
Description: partial 16S ribosomal RNA
Rfam family: Bacterial small subunit ribosomal RNA
Source: RNAcentral
AUUGAACGCUGGCGGCAGGCCUAACACAUGCAAGUCGAGCGAGCGGCGGACGGGUGAGUAAUGUAUGGGGACCUGCCCGAUAGAGGGGGAUAACUACUGGAAACGGUGGAUAAUACCGCAUACUAUCGGAUGAACCCAUAUGGGAUUAGCGAGUGGGGGGGGUAAAGGCUCACCUAGGCGACGAUCUCUAGCUGGGCUGAGAGGAUGAUCAGCCACACUGGGACUGAGACACGGCCCAGACUCCUACGGGAGGCAGCAGUGGGGAAUAUUCGACAAUGGGCGAAAGCCUGAUACAGCCAUGCCGCGUGUGUGAAGAAGGCGUUAGGGUUGUAAAGUACUUUCAGCGGAGAGGCGUUACCCGCAGAGAAAGCACCGGCUAACUCCGUGCCAGCAGCCGCGGUAAUUC